RNAcentral lists this transfer RNA (91 nucleotides) under Geobacteraceae bacterium GWC2_53_11. RNAcentral's name for it is "tRNA-Ser". It matches the Rfam family "tRNA". Rfam says of the family: Transfer RNA (tRNA) molecules are approximately 80 nucleotides in length. Their secondary structure includes four short double-helical elements and three loops (D, anti-codon, and T loops). Lineage: Bacteria; Pseudomonadati; Thermodesulfobacteriota; Desulfuromonadia; Geobacterales; Geobacteraceae. The record is from RNAcentral.
GGAGAGAUGUCCGAGUGGUUGAAGGAGCACGCCUGGAAAGCGUGUGUACGUUUAUAGCGUACCGAGGGUUCGAAUCCCUCUCUCUCCGCCA